UACGUAGGGUGCAAGCGUUGUCCGGAAUUAUUGGGCGUAAAGAGCUCGUAGGCGGUCUGUCGCGUCGGCUGUGAAAACCCGGGGCUCAACCCCGGGCCUGCAGUCGAUACGGGCAGACUAGAGUGCGGUAGGGGAGACUGGAAUUCCUGGUGUAGCGGUGAAAUGCGCAGAUAUCAGGAGGAACACCGGUGGCGAAGGCGGAUCUCUGGGCCGUAACUGACGCUGAGGAGCGAAAGCAUGGGGAGCGAACAGG
Molecule: ribosomal RNA, 253 nt
Filed under: uncultured bacterium
Lineage: Bacteria
Description: partial 16S ribosomal RNA
Rfam family: Bacterial small subunit ribosomal RNA
Source: RNAcentral